UCGGAUAUGGUGUAGUGGCUAACAUACGACGCUCUCAAUAACGAGUUUCCGUCGUGCCCGGGGUUCGAUUCCCCGUAUCCGAG
RNAcentral lists this transfer RNA (83 nucleotides) under Pyricularia grisea. Its description in RNAcentral is "tRNA-Glu". It matches the Rfam family "tRNA". Rfam says of the family: Transfer RNA (tRNA) molecules are approximately 80 nucleotides in length. Their secondary structure includes four short double-helical elements and three loops (D, anti-codon, and T loops). RNAcentral also lists the same sequence under 1 other name. Lineage: Eukaryota; Fungi; Ascomycota; Sordariomycetes; Magnaporthales; Pyriculariaceae. The record is from RNAcentral.